Molecule: long non-coding RNA, 392 nt
Organism: Catharus ustulatus (Swainson's thrush)
Lineage: Eukaryota; Metazoa; Chordata; Aves; Passeriformes; Turdidae
Exons: 4
Source: RefSeq, a predicted model, not a curated record
UUCUGAGGUCCUGAAUGUGGUGGUGACCAUAUGGUGUGACUUUUCCUCCUUGUUGAGGCUUGACAAGGAAACGUGACCACUGGUUGAACAGGAGCCAUGGAGAACUACCACAGAACAAAUAUGGAAAGCUCUGAAUUUCAAAGCUGUGCUACCCUCAAAUUCCUCUUCGUGAAUAUUCAGGGGCUUCAGAGGGAAAGGAAGCUAUGUUUUACCUAACUUAGGUGUUUUACAACAUUUCUAAUGCUUGAAGAAUUCAACACUUUGCAGAAACUCUUCUGGAUCAUCUAUGCUACAAAUUCAUUCACACCAAGAUUUCAGCCAGACUGACUGAAUGUUAUCCAGGAUAUUUAAAUCUGCAUGAUUCAGUAUAUGCUCUGUAGUGCUGGAGCCUU